Molecule: long non-coding RNA, 2956 nt
Organism: Chrysemys picta bellii (western painted turtle)
Lineage: Eukaryota; Metazoa; Chordata; Testudines; Emydidae
Source: Ensembl
GCGGGGGCGACCCUCAGAGGGGAGCGGGCUGAUCAUGGGCUCGUGCACACGUGUGCAGAGAUGCUUGACCCACGUGCCUUGGAUUUUUGGCACACCCUUUGGCACCGAAAAGGACAUAUCCGGACAUUUAGGCACGUGCAUGCGGCUUCUGAGCCUAGGGUCUCUGUCUCCUGCACUUUCAGCCAGUGUGUGCCCGCCAUCUGGAGGCACAUCAUCCUUCUCCCAUCACCACCUCGGUGGCGUAGUCUGGUGGCUAACUUGUAGGACAGGCAAUUAGAAGAGCUAUUGCUAGCUCUGCCACAGACUUUCCAUUGUGGCCUCGGGCAAGUCACUUAAGCCCAGAUCCUUCAAGGUGUUUAGGUGCCUAACUCUUAUUGACUUCAAUGACAGGUGCUUACACAUCUUUGAAGAUCUGGGCCGUCAACUCUCUGUACCACAUUCCCCCGUAUCAGUAGCACUGGACUACAGGGUAAUAUCUGCUCCACAAUUAUUUCUGUUUGUGUUUUGAGAUCCUCAGGGGCUUGAUGCAUGUAAAGGAGUGGCUUGUACAAGGAUGCAAAUAGUUGAGCUAUAGAUUUUAAUAAUAAAUUAUAGGAAGGAUUAUAAUGAGUGGAAUCAGAGUUUGGAACUGGGAAAAACUGAUGCCUCUGAGGAUGAAGCAAUGGAACAAAUUGAGAAACUCUGGCAUAAUAAAGCACAAGAUCAGAUGGUAUUCGUCCAGGGAUGUGGAGGAGGAUCUGAAGGAAAUAGCAGGUGAAAUACCGGAAAUACUGACAAGGAUAUGUAAUAUACAGUAUAUGCUGAAGAAAGAUUCAGGAAACCUGGCAAUGGGAUCUCCAUACCUGAAAGAUGAACAAAUAAUGAAAACUGACAUUUUCAGUGUCUCUUAUCCAGAGAUCCCAAAGCAGUCAACAGACUUUAAAACCAUAACCCCAGUCCUGCAAGCAACAUGUGCAAGACACUACCACUAAGCAGAGUGGGAGUUCUGUGCAAUACAAUGUGAGAAUUGAUAAUAUGUAAUAACAGAGCAAAUGCUGAGAUAGUCUUUAUUUCCUGUUAUUCUAUUCAGUCAUUUACUUAAAAAAAUUAUGAAAUGUAUUACUUGCAGUUCUUGACAGAAGAUGAGGACACAUUCAUUCAGAGGUACAGUAGCAUGUUCCUAUCAUCCUUUUCUGCCCCUUAAAAUAUUUUUGUUUAUCAUCCUUUUCUGCCCCUUAAAAUAUUUGCAAACAAUUGUCAUGUUGCCCUCGUACUAGCCAUUUAGCUAAUCUAGAUACAAUGCUCUUUCUUUUUUCAUGUUAUUCCAUUCAGCCCUUUAAUAGGGGCGGGGGGUCUUUCCUCUCUGAAUUUUCUGCCAGUUUACUAACAUUUCAGGUAUGAACUCAACCGGAACAGAGUUCAAUAUUGUAGGUGAAUUUCACUAGUUCUGUACAGGGCAGGACAAUUACCUUUGGACUUAUUUGGUCCAUGGCAUCACUUUUGGUAGCAAUAGAAAUGAAAGUGUCGCUUUGUCAACUCCCUUUACCUUUUCAUAAGAAGAGUACUUUUACCCAGGGUCUUGAGAGAAAAACUGUUAUUUCCUGUCUUUUGUUUAGUCUUCUCCUAUGUCAGACGGCAAGAGAUCAGCCACUUCAUCACCACUUUGCGUAAUUUUCAUCUAAUUUUCGUUGGGUGAAAUUCUCCCCUAUGCAGAAGGUCCACACAAGGGCUGUCUACCACUUAUGUCCCACCUAAACCAUGUUGUGAGGCCUUAACUAGAACUUAAGUGAUGCAUAGGACCUGUGUGGCUCCUCUGCACAGGGGCAAAUUUCUCCCAUUGUGAGCCUAUAUUUUGGUCAGUGAGGAGAGGUAAGACACAGGAGUUUCAUUGGCUCAGAAAUCCAAAUCAUGAUUUGUUUGUGUGCUCAAUAGUCUCUCACUUUCUUCCCAAGGCUAGCAAGAGCAGAAACACUGCAGGGAGGGUGACUAAGGAAGGAGAGAGUGCAUCAUUUUCCGACAACUUCCUACUGCUAUUCAAAUGGAGUUUCACUGAUCAACUUAAAGAGGGAAGUCCUGUGAGUCAAGGAAACUCCUGAGCUGUAAGGCCUUAGGAGGAGAAGUACUUCACAGAAGUUUACUGGAAAGAAAAUCUUCCAUUUUCUCCUAAAUCAAACCCAGGUCUCUCUCAUUACAGCUAAGAGUGCUAACCAUCUGACUGGUCCAGAAAUCCACAUUAAAGUCAAACAAAACUAAAUAUAGUGGUUACAAGGGUAGGUAUCAUAUGCUCACUGGGUGAUAGAUCUGUGCUAUAACUGAACCAGGAAAACUCCUCUCAGAAUUCCUUGGUUAAUCAUCUGGGGACAGACUGUAACCAGGUGAGUUCGGCACCUAACCUACAGAGGCACUUCUGAGAAUCAAACUAGGCACCUAUCUGCAUCUUUAGGAGCCUAAAUACCUUUGAAAAUCUGGCCCCUGGUCUCCAAGACCCAGAUCCUCAACUGUAUUAAGGAGCCUAACUCCCACUGAAAUCAGUGUGAGUGAGGUGCCUAUAUACAUUUGAGGAUCUGGGCCCAAGUGGCUUGGUUGGCCGUGUAGUGUUUUAAAGACUGCUGUCAAGAUCAGGGCCUACAUUGCAAAAGUGAUUAGUGAUUUUUGGCACCCCUAAAUAGAUGCUUAAAAGGGACCUGAUUUUCAGCAGGUGGGUGCUUGGCACUUUAUAAAAACCAAGCCCCAUACAGUGUCUAAAAGUGGGCCCCCCAAAACUGAGGCACCCUAAACCACUAGCAAUGUUUGAAAAUGUAGGCACUGUUCCCUGUUAUCCAAUGCCUUGUGAAGUUCCUCCUCCCUCACACUCUAAAAAAUCUGCUUAUCAACAGAACAUGCUUUAUAUGUACAGUUUAUAGAUUGAGACCAAAAUUUUCAAUUGUAGCUGCUUUAACGUUACGCAUCUAAAUAAAAGUGGUCUGGUUUGUUUUCA